GUUUGUUUGGAGUUAUAGAGAAUCUAGCCUGCCCCCUGAUAAUUACAUUAAAGGGCCGCAGUAUUCUAACUGUGCAAAGGUAGCAUAAUCAUUAGGUUUUUAAUUGAAAUCUUGUAUGAAUGGCUGGACAAAAGAAAAUCUUUCUUUGUAUUAAUUUUUGAAUUUAACUUUUAAGUGAAAAGGCUUAAAUGACCCAGGGGGACGAUAAGACCCUGUAAAACUUUACAUUAUAGUUAAAUUAAUUUAAUUUAGGUAAUAAAAAUUUAAUUAGAUUAUUUGUUAUGUUGGGGAGACAUAGGUAAAAUUUUUUAUUUUAACUGCUUUAGAAGUUUAACAAUUAUUAUUGAGGUAUAAUAGAUCCUUUUUAAAGAUUAAUAAGUUAAGUUACUUCAGGGAUAACAGCGUAAUUUCUUUUAAGAGUUCUUAUCGAAAAGGAAGAUUGCGACCUCGAUGUUGAAUUAAAAUAUCUAUAUAAUGGAGAAGUUAUAUAAGAAGGUCUGUUCGACCUUUAAAUUUUU
RNAcentral lists this ribosomal RNA (518 nucleotides) under Inlethelphusa acanthica. RNAcentral's name for it is "partial large subunit ribosomal RNA". It matches the Rfam family "Archaeal large subunit ribosomal RNA", at positions 1921 to 2666 of the family's 2987-position model. Lineage: Eukaryota; Metazoa; Arthropoda; Malacostraca; Decapoda; Potamidae. The record is from RNAcentral.